Long non-coding RNA from Nomascus leucogenys (northern white-cheeked gibbon), 479 nucleotides. RefSeq lists it as uncharacterized. The transcript is spliced from 2 exons. The record is from RefSeq and is a predicted model, not a curated record. Lineage: Eukaryota; Metazoa; Chordata; Mammalia; Primates; Hylobatidae.
CCUCCAUUUCCGAGGCUGUUUCUGGGGCCUCUGACAGACCUCAGCGUGUGAUGGGCUCCCGGCGUCGCACUGUGAGAGACCGAAGUCUGCAAGGUUGAGACUGAGCUAAAGUUAAUCUGUGGCGACGUUCUGGAUGUACUGGACAAACACCUCAUUCCAGCAGCUACCAUUGGCAAGUCCAAGGUUUUCUAUUAUGAAAUGUAGGUUCUAUACUAACAAUUAACAAGUGUACUUUAAUAAAUUUAAACAUUCUCAGGAAUAAUUGGCUUUGUUUCUUUUUUUUCUUAGGCAUUUCAUAUUAUUUUCCUUAUUAAAUAUAACCAAAAAUCCCACAGAAAUUAACUGAGGAGCCUCUAAAUAUCAACAAAAGUAUCACUUGAUAGACUAGAAUUAAACAAGCACAUGAUUCUAAGAAAUGGCACAAGUGUAUUAAUCAUAAAAUAAAAUUUCUACAUGAAACAUUCAGCCAUUCUAGACCA